This is a non-coding RNA of Electrophorus electricus (electric eel), 853 nucleotides long. NCBI's taxonomy places the organism in Eukaryota, Metazoa, Chordata, Actinopteri, Gymnotiformes, Gymnotidae. The record is from RefSeq and is a predicted model, not a curated record.
CACACACAGAACCCUGAGAAUGAGACCAACACUGCAACAAGCUCCUACACCAUCAGCUCAGUGGCGCCCUCUGAUGGAGGCCAGUACUGGUGCAGAGCUGGCAGAGGAAACCCAGUCUACUACACACACUACAGUGAUGCACUCUGGGUAAACGUUACUGUUCCCAUGAGUCCAGCUGGUGAGUCUCCCCUUAUUGAUCUGGUUGGGUUGUCUGUGGGACUGAGUUUGGUUCUGCUCUUCAUCUCACUUGUCCUGUUAUGGUUCUACAAAACCAACAAAGGUGUAGAAUGUCUGUAUCACCGCACUGGAAAUCAAUCAGACACCAAUCAGACAUCAGAUCAGACCCAGACAGAGUCAGGAGCCCACACAUAUGACAUUGUUGGCCGAACAGACAGGAGUGGCAUAGGUCAUGAUACACAACAGCAAAAGCAGGAAUAAAGGAAGUACUGUUCCAGUCCAGGACCCACAGGCCAUUUACUCCCAGAUUCAGUCAGGAGGAGUAACAGAGAAGACCAGUGUGGGGACAGACACUGUGUACUCAAAGCAGAUGCAGAAUUCACACAAAGGCCAAGACUUAAUGCACCAUUUCAGAGAUACGAGGCUGUAAUGAACAACUACUGGACACAAUGCCCCAAAGGAAUACUAUAACUGAUCAUAAGAAAGGCUUAAAAGAAUACUUCAAAACCAGCUAACAGUGAAAGAAAUAUAGCUGAACCCAGUCAGCAGAUCAUUUCAUAGAGUGCUUUCUGAUGUCCACUCCAUUCAUUAUUGUCAGUAUCAGCUUUUAUGGUGGGAGUAUUUAAAUAAGCAUGAGAGAACAAUGAGGUUAAAGUGAACAACAAUGUAAAGUGAC